GACGAACCGUGCGAACGUUAUUCGGAAUCAUUGGGCUUAAAGGGCGCGUAGGCGGCGGCGUAAGUUGGAAGUGAAAUCCCAUCGGCUCAACCGUGGAAUCGCUCCCAGUACUGCGUCGCUCGAGGGGGAUAGGGGUCUGCGGAACUACCGGUGGAGCGGUGAAAUGUGUUGAUAUCGGUGGGAACGCCAGUGGCGAAAGCGGCAGACUGGACCCUUCCUGACGCUGAGUGCGCGAAAGCUAGGGGAGCGAACGGG
RNAcentral lists this ribosomal RNA (255 nucleotides) under uncultured bacterium. Its description in RNAcentral is "partial 16S ribosomal RNA". It matches the Rfam family "Bacterial small subunit ribosomal RNA", at positions 524 to 776 of the family's 1533-position model. The record is from RNAcentral.